Long non-coding RNA from Ctenopharyngodon idella (grass carp), 1233 nucleotides. RefSeq lists it as uncharacterized. NCBI's taxonomy places the organism in Eukaryota, Metazoa, Chordata, Actinopteri, Cypriniformes, Xenocyprididae. The transcript is spliced from 3 exons. The record is from RefSeq and is a predicted model, not a curated record.
CAUAACAGUUUUCAGAACUGUUUGGCUAAUAUACUGAGCUCUUAUGAAAGUCUGCGUUUUUAAUCACAUCUUUAUGUGCAGAAGAGAGGCUUUGAUAGUUUUGUUAAGGUUUUGUUGGUAAUCUGUCAAUGGGUAAUUGGAAGUGAGCUAAUUUAUUUAAACUGCUGUACUGACAUCACUUACAGGAAGCGCGAAAAUCGAAUGAAACGAAAUGAAAUGAUCUUUCAUGGUAAAAAAAAAAAAUUACCUCGAUUACAUUUAAUGUUUAAUAAUUUAAUACCAAUCACAUUGAAGAAAAAAUGUUCUGUGAUUUCAGGAGUGAAAAAAUAAUUCUACAACACCGGAGGGGGAAGAGCUGCUGACAGAGGAGAAACUUUAGGAAACUCAGAUUCUUCCAUGCUGAUGGCCUGCACUCCUGUCGAAGAAAAUCUCAGGCUAAAAACCAUAUAACCAGCUCGCUGAAGAAGUUACCAUAGCAACGGAUAGCGUAUCCUGCUAAUAUGGCGGCGCCUUCCCGAAAUGCAACGCGGAGUGAAAACAUCGUGACGUAACUCCUCAUUCUCUAUACUAUACUCGUCUGAACUGAACUAUAAGUUAGCGGAGCAGUUAAACAGAAUAAGUUAAUGAGUGUAAACGUUGUUUCCUGCACGACGAGGGAGACAUUGAGGACUAGAUAGCGCCCCAAAUACCCGUGAUAUUUGGGGUUCCUCUGGCUACGUGGGAGGUGCGUUUCAUCAGCGGGCGAGAGAGAGUAGACCGAGGAGCUGCGGGAGGCCUAAUACAGGAGUCCAGGAUUGCUGUUUGAUUCGCACCUGAAAAUUGAGGUACUAUUGUUUGUGCUCAGGAGAGUGAAGGGGCCAUUUUUCAGUUUCCCGGCCACCACAAACACGAGCUACGACCCAGGCCUGCAACGGUGUGUGUGUAUGUGUGUGUGUGUAUGUGGGCCCACAGUGUUUAAUCUUCUUUUACAUUGUGUUAUUCAGCGCGUUUAACAACUGUGAAUAUUCAAAGUGAUAUUUCUGACAUCCAGAGUGAAUAAUUUUGUACAUUUCAUUCCAAAUGAGUUCACUUGUUCAAUUAAUUCUGAGUGUUUUGAUACAGAGACCAUUUCUGUACUCCUGUCACCUGUGAUGUUGACUUUUUGGUGGUAAUUUGGUCAAAUUUACAGUCACUGUGAUUGUGUGAAUACAUCACUUUCAUUUUGGGCUGUUUUUGACACUCUAUUUCUGCUCU